CAGCCACCCAAAAGAGACCGUGUGGAUCCAGUUCUGUUCAUCCAUCUGAGCUUCUCUCCUGAAGAGCUCUGCCCUCCAAGCACUCCUGCCUUGCUGUAGGAAUGGCUUUCCCUUCUCAGCCUCCGGGAACAGUCAAGCCACCUUCCAAAGACAGCCUGACAAUGCUCUUUUCUAAUGUCUUAGAUUGCCGUUCACAAGCUGGAUCUUGCAGACUUCAGCCAGCACAUCUACAGCAUUAGGAACAGCAAAUGAUGACGGCCAGAAGCAAUUCCACAACAGACAUCUAAACGAAACGAGCACCUGAGCUGGAUAUAAUACAUACUGCUUGGGUCUUCUGUACUCAAAAUCAGAGGUCCAAACACUUUCAGAACUGAAGACUUGGGUCUGUGUUGUUUCCUAAGUGCCAGACUUCUGAGUACCCCACUCAGCUGGAACCCUGCUCUGCUCCCACAGGCCAUUAUGUGCCCUGUGAGGAAACACCUUCAAGCAGAAUCUCACUUUCUGUUCUUCCUGAAGUCACAGAAUCCAGAUUAUGCACCAUCCCUAUGUGGAUACAGACAACCUCACACUGAGAACUCAGAGCCUGUGGACGCUUAGUAGGACAUGACUGGAAUUACACAGAUUAUGCCUUCUUGCAUGAAAUAAGUAGAAAAGUCACAGCAUGGGUUAAAAAUACGCUUGUCUUCUCUCAAUAAUUAAUUGUUCAGGGAUUAACAUGAGGUUUUGUGUUUUGAAAGUAAACUAAUCCACUCGUUGGCUGGUGUGUAAUGAAGGAGAACAGGCUACUGUCAAGCAGGCUGAAAACAGUGAAAAUUAACUACAAGUGCCACGACUCACAUAUUUUAUGUAUAUGAGUAAUGUAUUCCCUGUGGGACAGAAGAUGAAAAUAUCACACAGAAAAGAAAAACACAGUGGCUACAAAUUUAAUAAAACAAGCAAUCAUACUUAGCCUCAAAGCAUAAUUUGGCAUUUUUACUGCCUGAUGGUAUCAAGGUGGGGCCAGUGCAAGAGAACUCAUGCUUGUGAACUCACAAGAAGCACGACUUCACUUUUUACAGCCUGAGUGCAGAGCUAGCAAAAGGAAAGGAAAAUGCAACUACAACCCAGAAAACACUGAAUUAAAAUGAUUAUAAUUGGAAAGCA
Long non-coding RNA from Lagopus leucura (white-tailed ptarmigan), 1143 nucleotides. RefSeq lists it as uncharacterized. NCBI's taxonomy places the organism in Eukaryota, Metazoa, Chordata, Aves, Galliformes, Phasianidae. The record is from RefSeq and is a predicted model, not a curated record. The transcript has 4 exons.